RNAcentral lists this ribosomal RNA (483 nucleotides) under Bacillus sp. EF2C-B913. RNAcentral describes it as "bacterial SSU rRNA". It matches the Rfam family "Bacterial small subunit ribosomal RNA", at positions 8 to 483 of the family's 1533-position model. The record is from RNAcentral. Lineage: Bacteria; Bacillati; Bacillota; Bacilli; Caryophanales; Bacillaceae.
AGAGUUUGAUCCUGGCUCAGGACGAACGCUGGCGGCGUGCCUAAUACAUGCAAGUCGAGCGGAGAAAUGGGAGCUUGCUCCCAUUUCUCAGCGGCGGACGGGUGAGUAACACGUGGGCAACCUGCCCUACAGACUGGGAUAACUCCGGGAAACCGGAGCUAAUACCGGGUAAUACAUAGCAUCGCAUGAUGCAACGUUGAAAGUUGGCCUUUGGCUAACACUGUAGGAUGGGCCCGCGGCGCAUUAGCUAGUUGGUAAGGUAACGGCUUACCAAGGCCACGAUGCGUAGCCGACCUGAGAGGGUGAUCGGCCACACUGGGACUGAGACACGGCCCAGACUCCUACGGGAGGCAGCAGUAGGGAAUCUUCCGCAAUGGACGAAAGUCUGACGGAGCAACGCCGCGUGAGUGACGAAGGCCUUCGGGUCGUAAAGCUCUGUUGUUAGGGAAGAACAAGUACCGUUCGAAUAGGGCGGUACCUGAC